RNAcentral lists this ribosomal RNA (451 nucleotides) under uncultured bacterium. RNAcentral's name for it is "bacterial SSU rRNA". It matches the Rfam family "Bacterial small subunit ribosomal RNA", at positions 29 to 524 of the family's 1533-position model. The record is from RNAcentral.
AACGAACGCUGGCGGCAUGCCUAACACAUGCAAGUCGAACGAGACCUUCGGGUCUAGUGGCGCACGGGUGCGUAACGCGUGGGAAUCUGCCCUUGGGUUCGGAAUAACAGUUAGAAAUGACUGCUAAUACCGGAUAAUGUCUUCGGACCAAAGAUUUAUCGCCCAGGGAUGAGCCCGCGUAGGAUUAGCUAGUUGGUGAGGUAAAGGCUCACCAAGGCGACGAUCUUUAGCUGGUCUGAGAGGAUGAUCAGCCACACUGGGACUGAGACACGGCCCAGACUCCUACGGGAGGCAGCAGUGGGGAAUAUUGGACAAUGGGCGAAAGCCUGAUCCAGCAAUGCCGCGUGAGUGAUGAAGGCCUUAGGGUUGUAAAGCUCUUUUACCCGAGAUGAUAAUGACAGUAUCGGGAGAAUAAGACUCCGGCUAACUCCGUGCCAGCAGCCGCGGUAAU